GAUGAAGAACGCAGCGAAAUGCGAUAAGUAAUGUGAAUUGCAGAAUUCAGUGAAUCAUCGAAUCUUUGAACGCACAUUGCGCCCGCCAGUAUUCUGGCGGGCAUGCCUGUCCGAGCGUCAUUUCAACCCUCGAACCCCUCCGGGGGGUCGGCGUUGGGGAUCGGCCCUUUACGGGGCCGGCCCCGAAAUACAGUGGCGGUCUCGCCGCAGCCUCUCCUGCGCAGUAGUUUGCACACUCGCAUCGGGAGCCCGGCGCGUCCACAGCCGUUAAACACCCCAAACUUCUGAAAUGUUGACCUCGGAUCAGGUAGGAAUACCCGCUGAACUUAAGCAUAUCAAUAAGCGGAGGA
This 350-nucleotide unclassified non-coding RNA is filed under the name soil metagenome. RNAcentral describes it as "partial contains 5.8S ribosomal RNA, internal transcribed spacer 2, and large subunit ribosomal RNA". The stretch from base 1 to 120 matches the Rfam family "5.8S ribosomal RNA", at positions 35 to 154 of the family's 154-position model. The record is from RNAcentral.